AGACGUCUACAUUAGAUACCCCGGUAGUCCCAGCCGUAAACAAUGUGCGUUAGGUGUGUCGGUAACCACGUGUUACUGAUGCGCCGAAGAGAAAUCGUGAAACGCACCACCUGGGAAGUACGGUCGCAAGGCUGAAACUUAAAGGAAUUGGCGGGGAGCACCACAACGGGUGGAGCCUGCGGUUUAAUUGGACUCAACGCCGGGAAGCUCACCGGAUAAGACAGCGGAAUGAUUGCCGGGCUGAAGACUCUGCAUGACUAGCUG
This 264-nucleotide ribosomal RNA is filed under the name uncultured archaeon. RNAcentral's name for it is "partial 16S ribosomal RNA". It matches the Rfam family "Archaeal small subunit ribosomal RNA", at positions 717 to 982 of the family's 1478-position model. The record is from RNAcentral.